GACGAACGCUGGCGGCGUGCCUAAUACAUGCAAGUAGAACGCUGAAGAGAGGAGCUUGCUCUUCUUGGAUGAGUUGCGAACGGGUGAGUAACGCGUAGGUAACCUGCCUGGUAGCGGGGGAUAACUAUUGGAAACGAUAGCUAAUACCGCAUAAAAUGGAUUAUCGCAUGAUAAUCCAUUGAAAGGUGCAAAUGCAUCACUACCAGAUGGACCUGCGUUGUAUUAGCUAGUUGGUGAGGUAACGGCUCACCAAGGCAACGAUACAUAGCCGACCUGAGAGGGUGAUCGGCCACACUGGGACUGAGACACGGCCCAGACUCCUACGGGAGGCAGCAGUAGGGAAUCUUCGGCAAUGGACGGAAGUCUGACCGAGCAACGCCGCGUGAGUGAAGAAGGUUUUCGGAUCGUAAAGCUCUGUUGUAAGAGAAGAACGAGUGUGAGAGUGGAAAGUUCACACUGUGACGGUAUCUUACCAGAAAGGGACGGCUAACUCCGUGCCAGCAGCCGCGGUAAUACGGAGGGUGCGAGCGUUAAUCGGAAUAACUGGGCGUAAAGGGCACGCAGGCGGUUAUUUAAGUGAGGUGUGAAAGCCCCGGGCUUAACCUGGGAAUUGCAUUUCAGACUGGGUAACUAGAGUACUUUAGGGAGGGGUAGAAUUCCACGUGUAGCGGUGAAAUGCGUAGAGAUGUGGAGGAAUACCGAAGGCGAAGGCAGCCCCUUGGGAAUGUACUGACGCUCAUGUGCGAAAGCGUGGGGAGCAAACAGG
RNAcentral lists this ribosomal RNA (766 nucleotides) under uncultured Streptococcus sp. RNAcentral describes it as "bacterial SSU rRNA". It matches the Rfam family "Bacterial small subunit ribosomal RNA", at positions 28 to 776 of the family's 1533-position model. The record is from RNAcentral. Lineage: Bacteria; Bacillati; Bacillota; Bacilli; Lactobacillales; Streptococcaceae.